AUUGAACGCUGGCGGCAGGCCUAACACAUGCAAGUCGAGCGGAUGAAGGGGGCUUGCUCCUGUAUUCCGCUGCGGACGGGUGGGUAAUGCCCACGAUGCUUCCUGGUAGCUCGGGAUAACGUCCGGUAACGGGCGCUAAUCCCGCAUCCGGCCAGAGUUAGAACGUGGGGGAUCUUCGGACCCCACGCUGUUAGAUGAUCCUAGGUCGGAUUAGCUAGUUGGUGUGGUAAAGGCCUACCGAGACGACGAUCCGUAACUGGGCUGAGAGGAUGAUCAGGCACACUGGAACUGAGACACGGUCCAGACUCCUACGGGAGGCAGCAGUGGGGAAUAUUGGGCAAUGGGCGAAAGCCUGAUACAGCCAUGCCGCGUGUGUGAAGAAGGUCUUCGGAUUGUAAAGCGCUGUAAGUUGGGAGGAAGGGCAGUAAGUUUAUACCUGACUGUUUUGACGUUACCAAAAGAAUAAGCACCGGCUAACUUCGUG
This 484-nucleotide ribosomal RNA is filed under the name uncultured bacterium. RNAcentral's name for it is "partial 16S ribosomal RNA". It matches the Rfam family "Bacterial small subunit ribosomal RNA", at positions 30 to 507 of the family's 1533-position model. The record is from RNAcentral.